AUUGAACGCUGGCGGCAUGCCUUACACAUGCAAGUCGAACGGUAACAGGUUAAGCUGACGAGUGGCGAACGGGUGAGUAAUGUAUCGGAACGUGCCCAGUCGUGGGGGAUAACUGCUCGAAAGAGCAGCUAAUACCGCAUACGACCUGAGGGUGAAAGCGGGGGAUCGCAAGUCCUCGCGCGAUUGGAGCGGCCGAUAUCAGAUUAGGUAGUUGGUGAGGUAAAGGCUCACCAAGCCGACGAUCUGUAGCUGGUCUGAGAGGACGACCAGCCACACUGGGACUGAGACACGGCCCAGACUCCUACGGGAGGCAGCAGUGGGGAAUUUUGGACAAUGGGCGCAAGCCUGAUCCAGCCAUGCCGCGUGCGGGAAGAAGGCCUUCGGGUUGUAAACCGCUUUUGUCAGGGAAGAAAAGGUUCUGGCUAAUACCUGGGAAUCAUGACGGUACCUGAAGAAUAAGCACCGGCUAACUACGUG
This 477-nucleotide ribosomal RNA is filed under the name uncultured bacterium. Its description in RNAcentral is "partial 16S ribosomal RNA". It matches the Rfam family "Bacterial small subunit ribosomal RNA", at positions 30 to 507 of the family's 1533-position model. The record is from RNAcentral.